This 490-nucleotide ribosomal RNA is filed under the name uncultured bacterium. Its description in RNAcentral is "bacterial SSU rRNA". It matches the Rfam family "Bacterial small subunit ribosomal RNA", at positions 34 to 507 of the family's 1533-position model. The record is from RNAcentral.
CGCUAGCGACAGGCUUAACACAUGCAAGUCGAGGGCAGCGGAGACGAAGGCUUGCCUUCGUCAGCCGGCGACCGGCGCACGGGUGAGUAACACGUAUGCAACCUGGCCGUCACAGGAGGAUAACCGGGAGAAAUUCCGCCUAAUACUCCAUAACACACCGCAGGGACAUCCCUGAGGUGUCAAAGGAAGCGAUUCCGGUGACGGAUGGGCAUGCGGCGCAUUAGCUAGUCGGCGGGGUAACGGCCCACCGAGGCGACGAUGCGUAGGGGUUCUGAGAGGAAGGUCCCCCACACUGGAACUGAGACACGGUCCAGACUCCUACGGGAGGCAGCAGUGAGGAAUAUUGGUCAAUGGGCGGAAGCCUGAACCAGCCAAGUCGCGUGAGGGAAUAAGGCCCUAUGGGUCGUAAACCUCUUUUGUCGGGGAGCAAAGGCGUCCACGUGUGGACGCAAGGAGAGUACCCGAAGAAAAAGCAUCGGCUAACUCCGUG